CUUUACUGCAACUUGACGUUGGAACUUGGCUGUAUUUGUGUAGGAUAGGUGGGAGACUUUGAAGCAGGGCCGCCAGGUCUUGCUGAGUCGUCGUUGAAAUACCACCCUGGUGCUGACGAGUUUCUAACCGUGUCCGUAAGCCGGGCACGAGACAUCGUCUGGUGGGCAGUUUGACUGGGGCGGUCGCCUCCUAAAAGGUAACGGAGGCAUUCAAAGGUUCCCUCAGCGUGGUCGGUAAUCACGCGAAGAGUGCAAACGCAUAAGGGAGCUUAACUGCGAGACCGACAGGUCGAGCAGGUACGAAAGUAGGAGUUAGUGAUCCCGCGGUUUAGCGUGGAAUUGCCGUUGCUCAGUGGAUAAAAGGUA
This 366-nucleotide ribosomal RNA is filed under the name uncultured organism. RNAcentral describes it as "bacterial LSU rRNA". It matches the Rfam family "Bacterial large subunit ribosomal RNA", at positions 2099 to 2465 of the family's 2925-position model. The record is from RNAcentral.